UACAGAGGGUGCGAGCGUUAAUCGGAAUUACUGGGCGUAAAGCGCACGUAGUCGGCUUUGCAAGUCGGGUGUGAAAUCCCCGGGCUCAACCUGGGAACUGCAUUUGUGACUGCAUGGCUAGAGUGCGGCAGAGGGGGAUGGAAUUCCGCGUGUAGCAGUGAAAUGCGUAGAUAUGCGGAGGAACACCGAUGGCGAAGGCAAUCCCCUGGGCCUGCACUGACGCUCAUGCACGAAAGCGUGGGGAGCAAACAGG
This 253-nucleotide ribosomal RNA is filed under the name uncultured bacterium. RNAcentral's name for it is "partial 16S ribosomal RNA". It matches the Rfam family "Bacterial small subunit ribosomal RNA", at positions 524 to 776 of the family's 1533-position model. The record is from RNAcentral.